This 483-nucleotide ribosomal RNA is filed under the name uncultured bacterium. RNAcentral's name for it is "partial 16S ribosomal RNA". It matches the Rfam family "Bacterial small subunit ribosomal RNA", at positions 28 to 507 of the family's 1533-position model. The record is from RNAcentral.
GACGAACGCUGGCGGCGUGCUUAACACAUGCAAGUCGAACGCUGAGGCUCAGCUUUUGUUGGGUGGAUGAGUGGCGAACGGGUGAGUAACACGUGAGUAACCUGCCCCCUUCUUUGGGAUAACGCCCGGAAACGGGUGCUAAUACUGGAUAUUCACUGGUCUUCGCAUGGGGGUUGGUGGAAAGGGGUUUUCUGGUGGGGGAUGGGCUCGCGGCCUAUCAGCUUGUUGGUGGGGUGAUGGCCUACCAAGGCUUUGACGGGUAGCCGGCCUGAGAGGGUGACCGGUCACAUUGGGACUGAGAUACGGCCCAGACUCCUACGGGAGGCAGCAGUGGGGAAUAUGGCACAAUGGGCGCAAGCCUGAUGCAGCGACGCCGCGUGAGGGAUGGAGGCCUUCGGGUUGUGAACCUCUUUCGCUCAUGGUCAAGCCGCAACAAUGGUUGUGGUGAGGGUAGUGGGUAAAGAAGCGCCGGCUAACUACGUG